RNAcentral lists this transfer-messenger RNA (355 nucleotides) under Chryseobacterium sp. It matches the Rfam family "transfer-messenger RNA". Rfam says of the family: Bacterial tmRNA, also known as 10Sa RNA or SsrA, is named for its dual tRNA and mRNA-like properties. Its role is to liberate the mRNA from a stalled ribosome. To accomplish this part of the tmRNA is used as a reading frame that ends in a translation stop signal. The record is from RNAcentral. Lineage: Bacteria; Pseudomonadati; Bacteroidota; Flavobacteriia; Flavobacteriales; Weeksellaceae.
GGGGCCGUUUUGGAUUUGACAGGGAUGUUAGCAUGCAGUGCGUUGUACGGAGAGCACUUAAAAGAGAACGUUCACACUUUGAUUGGCGAAAAUAACUACGCCUUAGCUGCCUAAUUUAGAAUUAGCUAGCUUUUGUCCCUCUGGCUGCUGCAUCGUUAGGUCGGAAACCGGGGCAUCGAAAUAACAAUGCUGGCUGUUAUCAGGUACGGGAUAACGGCGAGAUAAAGUACCUAAGGAAAAAGUCAAGGUAGGUUUCCGGCCCGGCUGCUCCCGAAAACUAAAUGGAAAAUAAGCAUGUAGAAGGCAUAAUUUAUCACACAACUGGACAAGGGUUCGAACCCCUUCGGCUCCACAG